GACAGAGGGUGCAAACGUUGUUCGGAAUUACUGGGCGUAAAGCGCGUGUAGGCGGCUAAGUAAGUCGGGCGUGAAAUCCCACGGCUCAACCGUGGAAGUGCACUCGAAACUGCAUAGCUAGAGUCCUGGAGAGGAAGGUGGAAUGCUUGGUGUAGAGGUGAAAUUCGUAGAUAUCAAGCGGAACACCGGUGGCGAAGGCGGCCUUCUGGACAGUGACUGACGCUGAGACGCGAAAGCGGUGGGGAG
This 246-nucleotide ribosomal RNA is filed under the name uncultured bacterium. Its description in RNAcentral is "partial 16S ribosomal RNA". It matches the Rfam family "Bacterial small subunit ribosomal RNA", at positions 524 to 768 of the family's 1533-position model. The record is from RNAcentral.